GGGUUGUGAGGUUAAGCGACUAAGCGUACACGGUGGAUGCCCUGGCAGUCAGAGGCGAUGAAGGACGUGCUAAUCUGCGAAAAGCGUCGGUAAGGUGAUAUGAACCGUUAUAACCGGCGAUGUCCGAAUGGGGAAACCCAGUGCAAUUCGUUGCACUAUCGUUAACUGAAUACAUAGGUUAACGAGGCGAACCGGGGGAACUGAAACAUCUAAGUACCCCGAGGAAAAGAAAUCAACCGAGAUUCCCCCAGUAGCGGCGAGCGAACGGGGAGCAGCCCAGAGUCUGAAUCAGCUUGUGUGUUAGUGGAACGGUCUGGAAAGUCCGACGGUACAGGGUGAUAGUCCCGUACACCAAAAUGCACAGGCUGUGAACUCGAAGAGUAGGGCGGGACACGUGGUAUCCUGUCUGAAUAUGGGGGGACCAUCCUCCAAGGCUAAAUACUCCUGACUGACCGAUAGUGAACCAGUACCGUGAGGGAAAGGCGAAAAGAACCCCGGCGAGGGGAGUGAAAAAGAACCUGAAACCGUGUACGUACAAGCAGUGGGAGCACCUUCGGGUGUGACUGCGUACCUUUUGUAUAAUGGGUCAGCGACUUAUAUUCUGUAGCAAGGUUAACCGUAUAGGGGAGCCGCAGGGAAACCGAGUCUUAACUGGGCGUUAAGUUGCAGGGUAUAGACCCGAAACCCGGUGAUCUAGCCAUGGGCAGGUUGAAGGUUGGGUAACACUAACUGGAGGACCGAACCGACUAAUGUUGAAAAAUUAGCGGAUGACUUGUGGCUGGGGGUGAAAGGCCAAUCAAACCGGGAGAUAGCUGGUUCUCCCCGAAAGCUAUUUAGGUAGCGCCUCGUGAACUCAUCUUCGGGGGUAGAGCACUGUUUCGGCUAGGGGGUCAUCCCGACUUACCAACCCGAUGCAAACUACGAAUACCGAAGAAUGUUAUCACGGGAGACACACGGCGGGUGCUAACGUCCGUCGUGAAGAGGGAAACAACCCAGACCGCCAGCUAAGGUCCCAAAGUCAUGGUUAAGUGGGAAACGAUGUGGGAAGGCACAGACAGCCAGGAUGUUGGCUUAGAAGCAGCCAUCAUUUAAAGAAAGCGUAAUAGCUCACUGGUCGAGUCGGCCUGCGCGGAAGAUGUAACGGGGCUAAACCAUGCACCGAAGCUGCGGCAGCGACACUAUGUGUUGUUGGGUAGGGGAGCGUUCUGUAAGCCUGCGAAGGUGACCUGUGAGGGUUGCUGGAGGUAUCAGAAGUGCGAAUGCUGACAUAAGUAACGAUAAAGCGGGUGAAAAGCCCGCUCGCCGGAAGACCAAGGGUUCCUGUCCAACGUUAAUCGGGGCAGGGUGAGUCGACCCCUAAGGCGAGGCCGAAAGGCGUAGUCGAUGGGAAACAGGUUAAUAUUCCUGUACUUGGUGUUACUGCGAAGGGGGGACGGAGAAGGCUAUGUUAGCCGGGCGACGGUUGUCCCGGUUUAAGCAUGUAGGCUGGUUGUCCAGGCAAAUCCGGAUAAUCAAGGCUGAGGUGUGAUGACGAGGUACUACGGUGCUGAAGUAACAAAUGCCCUGCUUCCAGGAAAAGCCUCUAAGCAUCAGGUAACAUCAAAUCGUACCCCAAACCGACACAGGUGGUCAGGUAGAGAAUACCAAGGCGCUUGAGAGAACUCGGGUGAAGGAACUAGGCAAAAUGGUGCCGUAACUUCGGGAGAAGGCACGCUGGUGUGUAGGUGAAGUCCCUGCGGAUGGAGCUGAGACCAGUCGAAGAUACCAGCUGGCUGCAACUGUUUAUUAAAAACACAGCACUGUGCAAACACGAAAGUGGACGUAUACGGUGUGACGCCUGCCCGGUGCCGGAAGGUUAAUUGAUGGGGUUAUCCGUAAGGAGAAGCUCUUGAUCGAAGCCCCGGUAAACGGCGGCCGUAACUAUAACGGUCCUAAGGUAGCGAAAUUCCUUGUCGGGUAAGUUCCGACCUGCACGAAUGGCGUAAUGAUGGCCAGGCUGUCUCCACCCGAGACUCAGUGAAAUUGAACUCGCUGUGAAGAUGCAGUGUACCCGCGGCAAGACGGAAAGACCCCGUGAACCUUUACUAUAGCUUGACACUGAACAUUGAGCCUUGAUGUGUAGGAUAGGUGGGAGGCUUUGAAGCGUGGACGCCAGUCUGCGUGGAGCCAACCUUGAAAUACCACCCUUUAAUGUUUGAUGUUCUAACGUUGGCCCCUGACCGGGGUUGCGGACAGUGUCUGGUGGGUAGUUUGACUGGGGCGGUCUCCUCCCAAAGCGUAACGGAGGAGCACGAAGGUUAGCUAAUCCUGGUCGGACAUCAGGAGGUUAGUGCAAUGGCAUAAGCUAGCUUGACUGCGAGCGUGACGGCGCGAGCAGGUGCGAAAGCAGGUCAUAGUGAUCCGGUGGUUCUGAAUGGAAGGGCCAUCGCUCAACGGAUAAAAGGUACUCCGGGGAUAACAGGCUGAUACCGCCCAAGAGUUCAUAUCGACGGCGGUGUUUGGCACCUCGAUGUCGGCUCAUCACAUCCUGGGGCUGAAGUAGGUCCCAAGGGUAUGGCUGUUCGCCAUUUAAAGUGGUACGCGAGCUGGGUUUAGAACGUCGUGAGACAGUUCGGUCCCUAUCUGCCGUGGGCGCUGGAGAAUUGAGGGGGGCUGCUCCUAGUACGAGAGGACCGGAGUGGACGCAUCACUGGUGUUCGGGUUGUCAUGCCAAUGGCACUGCCCGGUAGCUAAAUGCGGAAGAGAUAAGUGCUGAAAGCAUCUAAGCACGAAACUUGCCCCGAGAUGAGUUCUCCCUGAGACUUUAAGUCUCCUGAAGGAACGUUGAAGACGACGACGUUGAUAGGCCGGGUGUGUAAGCGCAGCGAUGCGUUGAGCUAACCGGUACUAAUGAACCGUGAGGCUUAACCUUACAACGCCGAAG
This 2923-nucleotide ribosomal RNA is filed under the name Klebsiella pneumoniae. RNAcentral describes it as "bacterial LSU rRNA". It matches the Rfam family "Bacterial large subunit ribosomal RNA". RNAcentral also lists the same sequence under 1 other name. Lineage: Bacteria; Pseudomonadati; Pseudomonadota; Gammaproteobacteria; Enterobacterales; Enterobacteriaceae. The record is from RNAcentral.